AUUGAACGCUGGCGGCAUGCUUUACACAUGCAAGUCGAACGGCAGCGCGGGCUUCGGCCUGGCGGCGAGUGGCGAACGGGUGAGUAAUGCAUCGGAACGUGCCCAGUAGUGGGGGAUAGCACGGCGAAAGCCGGAUUAAUACCGCAUACGACCUGAGGGUGCAAGCGGGGGAGCGAAAGGCCUCGCGCGAUUGGGGCGGCCGAUGUCGGAUUUGCUAGUUGGUGGGGUAAAGGCUUACCAAGGCGACGAUCCGUAGCUGGUCUGAGAGGACGACCAGCCACACUGGAACUGAGACACGGCCCAGACUCCUACGGGAGGCAGCAGUGGGGAAUUUUGGACAAUGGGGGCAACCCUGAUCCAGCCAUGCCGCGUGCGGGAAGAAGGCCUUCGGGUUGUAAACCGCUUUUGUUCGGGAAGAAAUCCUCUGGGCUAAUACCCCGGGGGGAUGACGGUACCGGAUGAAUAAGCACCGGCUAACUACGUG
RNAcentral lists this ribosomal RNA (484 nucleotides) under uncultured bacterium. Its description in RNAcentral is "partial 16S ribosomal RNA". It matches the Rfam family "Bacterial small subunit ribosomal RNA", at positions 28 to 507 of the family's 1533-position model. The record is from RNAcentral.